This is a long non-coding RNA of Oncorhynchus kisutch (coho salmon), 3525 nucleotides long. RefSeq lists it as uncharacterized. Lineage: Eukaryota; Metazoa; Chordata; Actinopteri; Salmoniformes; Salmonidae. The record is from RefSeq and is a predicted model, not a curated record. The transcript is spliced from 2 exons.
ACGCUAUUUCGAACACGCCCUGUCCACGUGUUCCUGAAUGUAACACUGCACCCGGAUGUAGUGGGUGAUUAAGCUAAGGAUCAUGUUGCUAGCCCGGUUUGGUAUCUCGACCAUCAAACGUUAUAUGUUGACGAUUAUGUGAUUUAUAGCUAGCUAGAUAACUUGGAUGCAGAUUGCAAGCGUGGCUCAUUUUAACCUGUGCGCUUGGGUCAUUUUGGUGAGGAAGCCUUGAAAUCAGCACUACUGCAGGAGGAACCUGGGAGAGGCUGGAUAACCUGGGAGAGGCUGGAUAACCUGGGAGAGGCUGGAUAACCUGGGAGAGGCUGGAUAACCCGGGAGAGGCUGGAGAGACCCUGAACUGACACCCCAGCCCUGUCCCAAGUCGUCGUUGAUCUUCCACGCCUCCAUGUCCCAGGUGUAGGUUAAACCCUUGAAGCUGGCGAGACCCUGAAGUCCCACCCCUGGGUCCCCUCCCCAGCCUCAGCACCAGCCUCAGCCCCUUUGACGACCUACCAUGCCUCUGAUCGUGGAUGCUGUGUGGGCCGUGUGGAGCAUCGGGGCCGGGGUCUAUGACUACUUCCACACCAGUGCCAUGGAGGAACGCAUCGGCAACCUGGAGAGCGUCCUCACCAUCCACCAGUGUGUCAUAGCAGCUCUGUCCGCAGGCCUCGUCCUCCUCAUGACCUACAUACUGUGGAGAAAACACUGAAGCCAUGGUUGUAUUCAGUCAGUGAGAUGGCACCGGGGGGGGAAGUUUCCCCCUAGGUACAGAUCUUGGAUCAUUUCCCCCUCCCUCAAUCCUAUCUGUAACCAGUAGUGGGGAAAAUACUAAACUGACCCAAGAUCAGCAUCUAGGGGCAACUUCACCCUACUCUAGCGGGGAUGAGACGGUCCUAGAUACUCCAGACCUAAGUACUGCAUUACGGAUAGCAUCGGCUACUCACCAAACUAACAGCCAGUCCCAAAUCACGCCCUAACUCUCCCCCAUUGUCUUAUGUCAUAUCAUGCGAUGACUGUCAGUUUAGGGGCGGGGCAUCGUGUAGGAGUGGCCCCACCUAGCAUAAGAUAAUGACCUUGGCACUAACCCUUGGGUGUUGGCAGAUCUGAAGGGUCUUGAUAGGUAUAAGCAGUGUAACGCUGGUUCAUCACAUUACUACUGGAGCUCAACAGACAGUCCUCAACCCCUCCCUAGUCCUUCCCCUCGGCCCUGACCCUCAAAUGAACAUGGAUAGGUAUGACAACUGGGUAGGUAUAGGAUUCUGUUUCAUCAAAGAGCUACUAUUGGAAGACGAGCUCAAGAGACCAUGAGGAGUUGCUUGUGGAAGCUUCCUGGUGGACAGUAGCCCUGGUAUACAGUGCAAAGGCUCUAGCAGAGCUGGUUGGAGUAGAGUCAUCCCUCCAGGUCUCGUUCGUCACUCUGCUGUUACUUGGGCAAAGGCUCUAUCAGAGCUGGUUGGAGUAGAGUCAUCCCUCCAGGUCUCGUUCGUUACUCUGCCGUUACUUGGGCAAAGGCUCUAUCAGAGCUUGUUGGAGUAGAGUCAUCCCUCCAGGUCUCGUUCGUUACUCUGCUGGUACUUGGGCAAAGGCUCUAGCAGAGCUUGUUGGAGUAGAGUCAUCCCUCCAGGUCUCGUUCGCCACUCUGCUGUUACUUGGGCAAAGGCUCUAUCAGAGCUGGUUGGAGUAGAGUCAUCCCUCCAGGUCUCGUUCGUUACUCUGCUGUUACUUGGGCAAAGGCUCUAGCAGAGCUUGUUGGAGUAGAGUCAUCCCUCCAGGUCUCGAUCGUCACUCUGCUGUUACUUGGGCAAAGGCUCUAUCAGAGCUGGUUGGAGUAGAGUCAUCCCUCCAGGUCUCGUUCGUCACUCUGCUGUUACUUGGGCAAAGGCUCUAUCAGAGCUGGUUGGAGUAGAGUCAUCCCUCCAGGUCUCGUUCGUUACUCUGCCGUUACUUGGGCAAAGGCUCUAUCAGAGCUUGUUGGAGUAGAGUCAUCCCUCCAGGUCUCGUUCGUCACUCUGCUGUUACUUGGGCAAAGGCUCUAUCAGAGCUGGUUGGAGUAGAGUCAUCCCUCCAGGUCUCGUUCGUUACUCUGCUGUUACUUGGGCAAAGGCUCUAUCAGAGCUUGUUGGAGUAGAGUCAUCCCUCCAGGUCUCGAUCGUCACUCUGCUGUUACUUGGGCAAAGGCUCUAUCAGAGCUGGUUGGAGUAGAGUCAUCCCUCCAGGUCUCGAUCGUCACUCUGCCGUUACUUGGAACAGGAUUGAGAGGAAGUUUGAGAGCUGAGGGUAGCUGGAGAGGAGUUCUUCAAUCUGAGAGCUCGAGUGCCGUGUUGACUGUAGCCUGGUCCCCAGAUCUGUUUGUGCUAUUGUGUCCACUCCUUGCCAUGCCAAACAUGGAAUUGACAUGAUAGCACCAACAGAUCUGGGACCAGUCUAUCAUGGCUGGCUGUGAUCAUAAAACACUGUAUUUUGCUACUGUGUGGAUACUGACGUCUAGCCUGGUCCCUGUUCUGUUUGUGCUGUCUUGCCAACAAUGACCAUAAUGACCGUAGGAGUGGGCAAGACCAUACGAACAGAUCUAGGACCAGGCUAACUCAGGCCCCCUUGUUUAAUUUAAAACUACCAUCCAUUGAAUGUGAUUGAUUCAUUUUGGUCCUGUUAUAUUGCUGAAAGGGAUUUGUGAAACAUGGCUUCUGUCCAUGUCACUGUAGAAUAAGCCUACAUAAUAAUGACACUGUUGGGACUAAACAUUAUAAACCGCUUUUCCGGUUUUCUCUGUAUUUGUACGUCAUAACAUCUCCUUUUAAUAUCAUGCUUUUAUCAUUGUUGGAUCUGUUCCCUGUCUACCUGGUUCACUAUUAUCAUGUCUGUCGGCCAUUGUUGGAUCUGUUCCCUGUCUACCUGGUUCACUAUUAUCAUGUCUGUCGGCCAUUGUUGGAUCUGUUCCCUGUCUACCUGGUUCACUAUUAUCAUGUCUGUCGGCCAUUGUUGGAUCUGUUCCCUGUCUACCUGGUUCACUAUUAUCAUGUCUGUCGGCCAUUGUUGGAUCUGUUCCCUGUCUACCUGGUUCACUAUUAUCAUGUCUGUCGGCCAUUGUUGGAUCUGUUCCCUGUCUCCCUGGUUCACUAUUAUCAUGUCUGUCGGCCAUUGUUGGAUCUGUUCCCUGUCUCCCUGGUUCACUAUUAUCAUGUCUGUCGGCCAUUGUUGGAUCUGUUCCCUGUCUACCUGGUUCACUAUUAUCAUGUCUGUCGGCCAUUGUUGGAUCUGUUCCCUGUCUACCUGGUUCACUAUUAUCAUGUCUGUCGGCCAUUGUUGGAUCUGUUCCCUGUCUACCUGGUUCACUAUUAUCAUGUCUGUCGGCCAUUGUUGGAUCUGUUCCCUGUCUCCCUGGUUCACUAUUAUCAUGUCUGUCGGCCAUUGUUGUCGACUGAAGUGCUACUGUGCGUAUUUUGCUGAAUCACUACCUGUUUGUUGGUUUCUAUGUGAACAAACGGUAUUAAUGUCAGGUUAAUAAAUAAUGUGAUUAACUCUGCA